CGGCACUCGCGGCCCUGUGAAAAGGCGGGGCCCGCCGUGCUGGGCGUCAGAAUGCUCUUGAGAACUGGUGGGCGAGGAAUCUUGACCCUGUGUGACUUGCCUCCCCCUAUACCAAGCUCACCUACCUUUUGAAACGUAAUUGAUUCCAUUCCUGCUGGACAGCCUGGGAUCUGGCUCGCCCAAGGUCCUGCACUAAGCAGGGAACCCUGAUCAAUAUGACCAGUCAUUCCUCUGAGGUCACCAGUCCAGAGAGCAGCCCAGAUCUAUCACUCUGAUGUUAAGAGAGAAUCCAGAGGAUACCAUGAAGAGUACGGAGAACGUGUAUCUCCUACCUACAUUACCAGGACUUUGUGGAAGUUAUAUUCUACCCUUUGUCGACUGAAAAAAAAAAAAAAAAAGGUACAAUCUAAAAGUUGAGAAUUACAUUUUAUUUGGUGGACUUGCUGAGGACUUAAGCCCUGAAGGCAGCCUCUGAGGGACUGCUCCAAUGAGGAAAAGGAGGAGCUAGGAUAUAUAGAAGUUUUUGCUAUAAAAAACAGGUAGUCGGAACAUCAAAAGAUUACUGUCAAAGAAAAAGAGAUAUCAAGCUAAUGAAUUUGGCACUUUUCUAUGUUUGGGAAGAUGCAAGAGUCUGGGCUCAAUGAAAUCAUGCCUUUGAUACGCACCUUAACUAUCUAGGGCCAGCAUCCUGCCCUUCUUCAUCCUGAAUCCCCUCAGGGUGCACAGCCUGGGCGGGUGCAGUGGCUGAGGGCUUGAUGGCUGCAAUGUCCUUUGUUUACUGAUAUGGUGGUGACAUUCUUUUGUCCACACCUUCUAAUUCCCUUUUGAAGAGUUGCAGGAAGAGGACAAACUUUAAAAUUUCACCUGGGUUAUCAAAGCAGAAACUGGUUUAGUUAAAGAGACAAUUGAAAGUAAGAGAAGGUGAGUAUGCUAGAUUUUUUUUUUUAAUCCAAACUUCUCACUUAACUACCCAGUGGAGUGGGGACUAUUUGAGAGGAUCAGUAAUUUGGAAACUGCUGCAAUCAUGAUCGUGGCCUCCUUGAGAAUGAAUCUGAAGUUGAUCUGUGAGUUUGUGAAUAGCUGUUGGCAUGUAUUGAUUUUGUUUUGGUUGGUUUAGUUUGGUUUUCUUCUGAGAUUAGUCACUGAAGUCUGUGGAAAUAGCUCAAUGCAGAAUAAUGAGCUGGGGUCAAGGGGUCAAGGUUUUUUACUUUGAACCAAACCC
Long non-coding RNA from Physeter macrocephalus (sperm whale), 1222 nucleotides. RefSeq lists it as uncharacterized. The record is from RefSeq and is a predicted model, not a curated record. The transcript is spliced from 3 exons. NCBI's taxonomy places the organism in Eukaryota, Metazoa, Chordata, Mammalia, Artiodactyla, Physeteridae.